Anneissia japonica is the source of this 364-nucleotide long non-coding RNA. RefSeq lists it as uncharacterized. Lineage: Eukaryota; Metazoa; Echinodermata; Crinoidea; Comatulida; Comatulidae. The record is from RefSeq and is a predicted model, not a curated record. The transcript has 3 exons.
CAAAGAUCGAUAUUUGGUGGAACUGCCGUCCCGUUUACACUAUUCAGGCUCAGAGAUGAGUUGGAUAUUUUGAAAGACAAAAUAUCAAAUAACAUUGCUGUGUUGAAAAUGAAUAGGCCCUAGCUUGCCAUGGAAAUUUUAACCUAAAAAUCAUUUUAUUCACCAACAUGUCUGUGGCAUAACUAGCUGGGGAACCAGUCAAUUCGAGUAGAUGCCACUUCGAGCAGAUGCUAGUUCAAGCGGAAAAAAGAUUCACUUGCGCGAACAACAGCCUGUGUACCCAACUUCAGCUGAGUAUUCAAGUAUAGUGGAGCAACUACUUACAAAUAUCAACAAAUAUCAUCCGAUACCUCAAAUCAGAAAG